CCUACGGGAGGCUGCAGUGGGGAAUAUUGGACAAUGGGCGAAAGCCUGAUCCAGCCAUGCCGCGUGUGUGAAGAAGGCCUUCGGGUUGUAAAGCACUUUCAGUGGGGAAGAAAGCCUUGGGGCUAAUACCCUCGAGGAAGGACAUCACCCACAGAAGAAGCACCGGCUAACUCCGUGCCAGCAGCCGCGGUAAUACGGAGGGUGCGAGCGUUAAUCGGAAUUACUGGGCGUAAAGCGCGCGUAGGCGGUCUGAUAAGCCGGUUGUGAAAGCCCCGGGCUCACCCUGGGAACGGCAUCCGGAACUGUCAGGCUAGAGUGCAGGAGAGGAAGGUAGAAUUCCCGGUGUAGCGGUGAAAUGCGUAGAGAUCGGGAGGAAUACCAGUGGCGAAGGCGGCCUUCUGGACUGACACUGACGCUGAGGUGCGAAAGCGUGGGUAGCAAACAGGAUUAGAUACCCCUGUAGUC
RNAcentral lists this ribosomal RNA (465 nucleotides) under Vreelandella stevensii. RNAcentral's name for it is "partial 16S ribosomal RNA". It matches the Rfam family "Bacterial small subunit ribosomal RNA", at positions 338 to 795 of the family's 1533-position model. The record is from RNAcentral. Lineage: Bacteria; Pseudomonadati; Pseudomonadota; Gammaproteobacteria; Oceanospirillales; Halomonadaceae.